This 491-nucleotide ribosomal RNA is filed under the name uncultured bacterium. RNAcentral's name for it is "partial 16S ribosomal RNA". It matches the Rfam family "Bacterial small subunit ribosomal RNA", at positions 29 to 507 of the family's 1533-position model. The record is from RNAcentral.
AGUGAACGCUGGCGGUAGGCCUAACACAUGCAAGUCGAACGGCAGCACAGUAAGAGCUUGCUCUUACGGGUGGCGAGUGGCGGACGGGUGAGGAAUACAUCGGAAUCUACUUUUUCGUGGGGGAUAACGUAGGGAAACUUACGCUAUACCGCAUACGACCUACGGGUGAAAGCAGGGGAUCCUCGGACCCUGCGCGGUUGAAUGAGCCGAUGUCGGAUUAGCUAGUUGGCGGGGUAAAGGCCCACCAAGGCGACGAUCCGUAGCUGGUCUGAGAGGAUGAUCAGCCACACUGGAACUGAGACACGGUCCAGACUCCUACGGGAGGCAGCAGUGGGGAAUAUUGGACAAUGGGCGCAAGCCUGAUCCAGCCAUACCGCGUGGGUGAAGAAGGCCUUCGGGUUGUAAAGCCCUUUUGUUGGGAAAGAAAAGCAGCAGGUUAAUACCCCGCUGUUCUGACGGUACCCAAAGAAUAAGCACCGGCUAACUUCGUG